AGCGAACGCUGGCGGCAGGCCUAACACAUGCAAGUCGAACGAACUCUUCGGAGUUAGUGGCGGACGGGUGAGUAACACGUGGGAACGUGCCUUUUGGUUCGGAAUAACACAGGGAAACUUGUGCUAAUACCGAAUGUGUCCUUCGGGGGAAAGAUUUAACGCCAUUAGAGCGGCCCGCGUCUGAUUAGCUUGUUGGUGAGGUAACGGCUCACCAAGGCGACGAUCAGUAGCUGGUCUGAGAGGAUGACCAGCCACACUGGGACUGAGACACGGCCCAGACUCCUACGGGAGGCAGCAGUGGGGAAUCUUGCGCAAUGGGCGAAAGCCUGACGCAGCCAUGCCGCGUGAAUGAUGAAGGUCUUAGGAUUGUAAAAUUCUUUCACCGGGGACGAUAAUGACGGUACCCGGAGAAGAAGCCCCGGCUAACUUCGUG
RNAcentral lists this ribosomal RNA (433 nucleotides) under uncultured bacterium. Its description in RNAcentral is "partial 16S ribosomal RNA". It matches the Rfam family "Bacterial small subunit ribosomal RNA", at positions 29 to 507 of the family's 1533-position model. The record is from RNAcentral.